GGGGCGAAGUCUGACUCCCGUAGGAGUCCGGAUGAAGUCUACCUGCAAUUGAAGUUGGGGGCGAAGUCCGGCUCCCGUAGGAGUCCGGACGAAGUCUACCUGUAAUUGAAGUUGUGGGCGGAGUCCAGCUCCCGUAGGGGUCCGGACGAAGUCUGCCUGCAGUCGAAGUUGGGGACGAGGUCUGGCUCCCGUAGGAGUCCGGACGAGGCCUUCCUACAGCUGGAGUUGGGGGCGAAUGUUGAAAAAUGUGUCCCGAAAAGCCAAUCGUCAAGCUGUUGACGGUUGAGCAACCAAGUAUUGUAAUUGAUUUGUUAAUAAAUAAAAUAUAUUUGGCAUCUUCAUCAUAAGCUUUCAUCUUCUAAUGAACUCCGUUGUUAUGAUGAAGUCCUUAGGACUAUUUAGGUUCGAUAAAGAGAGGAUUUAUCGAUUAGUCCUUAAAACUGUUCACGACCAAAUGAUAGGCUGUUAAUAAGGACGACAGCUUCUAUCGAGCAUAGGUCGCUGUAGGCCAUAUGGGUUGGUUGUCCUCUUAACCAAAGAGUGUGGAGACACUAGUAUGGCAUA
Molecule: long non-coding RNA, 564 nt
Filed under: Elaeis guineensis (African oil palm)
Lineage: Eukaryota; Viridiplantae; Streptophyta; Magnoliopsida; Arecales; Arecaceae
Description: long non-coding RNA (EGUI_LNC052276)
Source: RNAcentral